GUCCACGCCGUAAACGUUGGGCACUAGGUGUGGGGCUCUAUCGACGGGUUCCGUGCCGAAGCUAACGCAUUAAGUGCCCCGCCUGGGGAGUACGGCCGCAAGGCUAAAACUCAAAGGAAUUGACGGGGCCCGCACAAGCGGCGGAGCAUGUGGCUUAAUUCGAUGCAACGCGAAGAACCUUACCAAGGCUUGACAUGCUGGUUAAUCCGUAGAAAUACGGUGAUCCUUCGGGAUCCAGCGCAGGUGGUGCAUGGCUGUCGU
This 261-nucleotide ribosomal RNA is filed under the name uncultured bacterium. RNAcentral's name for it is "partial 16S ribosomal RNA". It matches the Rfam family "Bacterial small subunit ribosomal RNA", at positions 793 to 1055 of the family's 1533-position model. The record is from RNAcentral.